This 253-nucleotide ribosomal RNA is filed under the name uncultured bacterium. Its description in RNAcentral is "partial 16S ribosomal RNA". It matches the Rfam family "Bacterial small subunit ribosomal RNA", at positions 524 to 776 of the family's 1533-position model. The record is from RNAcentral.
GACGAACCGUGCGAACGUUGUUCGGAUUCACUGGGCUUAAAGGGCGCGUAGGCGGGCAGGCCAGUCCGGGGUGAAAGCCCCCGGCUCAACCGGGGAACGGCCUUGGAUACUGCUUGUCUGGAGGGGGGUAGGGGCACGCGGAACUUCCGGUGGAGCGGUGAAAUGCGUUGAUAUCGGAAGGAACGCCGGUGGCGAAAGCGGCGUGCUGGACCCCAUCUGACGCUGAGGCGCGAAAGCCAGGGGAGCAAACGGG